Molecule: ribosomal RNA, 253 nt
Filed under: uncultured bacterium
Lineage: Bacteria
Description: partial 16S ribosomal RNA
Rfam family: Bacterial small subunit ribosomal RNA
Source: RNAcentral
AACGUAGGACACAAGCGUUAUCCGGAGUUACUGGGCGUAAAGGGUGCGUAGGCGGGUAGGUAAGUCAGUGGUGAAAUCUUCGAGCUUAACUCGGAAACUGCCUUUGAUACUAUCUAUCUUGAAUAUUGUGGAGGUAAGCGGAAUAUGUCAUGUAGCGGUGAAAUGCUUAGAUAUGACAUAGAACACCUAUUGCGAAGGCAGCUUACUACGCAUAUAUUGACGCUGAGGCACGAAAGCGUGGGGAUCAAACAGG